GAAGCUCCCUACCAGGAUAAGCCAGUCUCCACAAUUGUUUAAGUGCAUCCUGAAAGUCAAAAGAAAACCAAUUUCUCAUUCUAACUUCAAAAUAUAAAGGCCAUUAUGUAGGGUUACUCUAAUGGAAGGCUGUUCCUGUUUCAACAGUCCCCAGAGCCGAUUAAAUAAUGACUAAUAUUCAACACUAUUGGAUGAAGUGGGCACUCUUAAGAUUCAAACUUCCACACUUGUGCUUGGUAGCAUAAACUUUGACAUGAUAAUCCCUGACAUCAGAAACUAAAGAAGUUCUUGAUAAUUUUCUCCCUUGUGAUCAUCAGCAACUAGUUUCAGUAGGUUUUGUCCAUAACACUUUGGUAAAAAGGCCUCAAUAUUGAGAGUAGUAAACACCAUCUUCAAAAAAAGUUUUUCCUCGAAAAAUUUUAUUCAAAAACACUCCUGGGAAAAAAAAAAAUCCUUCUUAAAGCAUGUUUAAAUUAAUGGAGGGUAUUUAUAAAAUUCACAAUUUUUUAAAUUUUUUAUAGCUUUGAUGAACAAAAAAGGGUAUAAAAGCCAAACCAAAAGACUAAAUUGUUAAUGGAAUCAAAUACUGAGAACUAACUAAUUCAAUUUUAAAAUUACAUGAGCCAAGUAACUAAUUUUUGUCACACAUUAGGAACUAAAACAUAAUUUAUAAAAGCUCAACUAGUAUUCUAGCCUACAAGAGUCUAUGCCCAUAAAAUGAAAUGGUCAGGUAAUGUAUGAAUUUAUGGACUCAGUAGAGCCUAAUGCUUUUGCAUAAAUGCAAAUAUGGACAUCACCGAUGAUUCACAGAUCUAAUAAGGCAUAUCAGAAAAUCACUUGAAAUGGUGAUACAGUUAUUGUCAAUUGUAAUCCUCAAUGUAUGUAAAUUAUCAACCACCUAAAAAACAAAAAAGCAGAAAAGAGAAAGGUGCAGUUCAAGUGAAGGGUUUUGCAGCUUAUUGAGGUGUGUAUUCAUAAAUCUUUCCUUCAAUUAAAAGGAAAACCUGAUUUCAAUGAGUAAGUUGCAUACUCGUUCCUUUGAAUGCAAAGAAUGAUUUUAAUCAGUAAGUCAAAUCAACAGCAACUUCAACAACUAAAAGGAAAUUUAACCUACCAAGACUUCAUAUCAAGUAAUGAUAAAAAAUGAGAAAAUGAAGAGGACCUACUUGAUGCUC
RNAcentral lists this unclassified non-coding RNA (1175 nucleotides) under Hevea brasiliensis (rubber tree). Lineage: Eukaryota; Viridiplantae; Streptophyta; Magnoliopsida; Malpighiales; Euphorbiaceae. The record is from RNAcentral.